UAUUGUAAACCCUGCCUUAAUUAGUUAGGUUAGGUUACUAAUUAAGGCAGGGUUUACAAUAGG
RNAcentral lists this microRNA precursor (63 nucleotides) under Mus caroli (Ryukyu mouse). RNAcentral describes it as "microRNA 5624 (MGP_CAROLIEiJ_G0007346.1)". Lineage: Eukaryota; Metazoa; Chordata; Mammalia; Rodentia; Muridae. The record is from RNAcentral.